UGGGGCUGCGAGGCGCGCAGGGUGGUGGAGCAGGGGACGAAGAGGGAAGAUGCAAAUAAAAAAUAGGUGUAUUCAGACUCUCUAGGAAGAAGACUUCAGAUCCACACGCUAUCAAGUCAAGGAAAAUCUGCUAUGUCAGAGACGGGGAACAGGGCAAACCAUAGUCAUCCCUAGGAGGAACUUCUGGACCUGUGCAUAUUGUUUGAACCACCGCAGAAGGGAGACAUGUACAAGGAAGACCUGGCAACUUUCCUCAGCAAGAA
Molecule: long non-coding RNA, 263 nt
Organism: Mus spicilegus (steppe mouse)
Lineage: Eukaryota; Metazoa; Chordata; Mammalia; Rodentia; Muridae
Source: Ensembl